CCUUUGUUAAAUAAAUUACAAAGAAUAUUCUCCUUAAACCUUAUGGUUCACAAAUGCAAGCAAAUUUAAUAGUAUAGAUUUCUACUUACGAAAUCUGUGCUAAGAAAAUUAAAGUAAAGGAAAAACGGAGAACGUAGAAUAUAGAGAAGAUUCAUGGUGUACCACUUUUCGCAGGGACGAUGAGCGUGUUUCACCUCAGAAUAAUAUGUUUCAGCACAGUUCAACAUUAGCGGAAUUGAGCAUAUUCAGUGUUAAAUGAGAAAAAUAAUGCUAAUUUGAAUGUUAAGAAAUGUACGCUUACCGGUCAACGGUUUGCAUCUAACCGAAAACGUUUUGCUACAUAGUUAUUUCUAGCCACGUUAUUUAAUAUAAACAAAUUUCAAAUUGAAUUAAGGUUACAUAAUAAGGAAAAAAGACAGCGAUUUCCUUGAGAUAGUUUGUCAAAUAAAAAAGCUUUCCAUACAAGAAUUUGAUUUUAAUCGGUCAGUUUGUAUGGAAACUAUGUGCUUUAUUUGUCCGAUCUGUUUGAAGAUUGUUAUUGUACAAGGACUUGAUUUUAAUCGUUCAGAUUAUAUAGUAGUUAUAUCUUAUAUUGUUCCGAUAUAAACGGUUUUGGCAAGUGAGCAGCCUCUUGGGGAGAAAAAGACGUGUAAAAAAUUAUAGAUCGAUAGCAAAACAUAUUACGAACUACAGCCAGACGAACUGUGAUAAUUUAUGUAUAUACGUUAUUAAUAAUAUUAAAAAAAAUUACAACUAACAAGUAGGGAAGAGCUAAGUUCAAGUAAAACCGAACAUUUCAUAUUCUUGAAUAUGUAGUUUGUCGCCUUCAAAGUAAUAGAUAGUUGUAAUAGAAGUAGAUAUUAUGCAUUUAUACCAGCGUUUUUUUCCAAUACUCAAAGCACUUAUAAAAGUCUUUGUUUAUGAUCGUGUUCAGCUCGUCCUUCGAUACAGUUUUUAUCUCCUCAGUCGUAGCGUAGCGUCGUUCUUUCCUGAGCCACUUCCGUUUUGGGAACAACAAAAAGUCAUAGGGGCCAGUUCUGGUGAAUACGGCACCAUUAAUAUGUUGUUUUUGGUCAAAUAUGAGGUUUGUUCAAAAUGUAUCGCGAAUUUUGAAUUUUCGCGGGCUACGUGUAUCGCAUCUUCACCGACAUCUACUUACCUAAAAGAGUAAGUGCGUUAUGUCUAGGGGUUAUUACUUUAAAUGGGACAAUAUAUAUAUUCAUGAAUAAAUAAACGCUUUUUUAAGAAAUACAAAAUUCGCGAUAUUUUUUGAACAAACCUCGUAUGUUAUACAAACUCAACCGAAGAAGCAAAAUUUAAUACAUUGAGUUGAUGUGCAAAACGUCAACCAGAAGAUCGGAAUUGAUUAUAUUAGGAUAUGAGAUUAGGGCCAAGGAUCAAUUCUAUUUAUAUUCAGCGAUAGACCAAAUAAUUGUUAAAAAAGCUUAUAAAGCAAGUGGAAAGUCGAAAAUCACUACAUAGGGUAUAUUGGGGGCAGAAAAGGGGUGGGCUGAUUGCACUGACUACUGAUUUCGCUCAUUUUCACAUAUUUUCGGCAUUUACCUAUAGAAUAUCGAAUAUUAUACGCUAAGUUAAAUUUGCUAAGAUAUCAUACAUAUUGAGCGACAUAUAAGGUAUGAAGCCAACCAUAAGUUUGAAAACUUUAUAUUAGGUAUAUGGAAAACAGAGGUAGUAUUGAAUCGAUUUAUCUAUUAUUAACAGAAAAAGAUGAUCAAUAAAUUUCAUUAAGGUACCUCACAUACCAUUAUUAAUUUAUAAGGAGUAAAGUCAACCAAAUUUGGAAACUUCUCAUAUUAGUUAUAUGGCAAGUUUUCUUCCGAUUUUAUCCAUUUUAUGCAGAAAGAUACACUGUUAUUGGAAAAAGAGGCUCUCUCAAUUUCAUUUGAAAUCUGAUAUUUGAUAAUCAUUAUAUUAGUAUAUGGGGGCUUGAUCGAUUUUAGGCACAAGGAUGCACUGUUCUUAAAAAGCGAUUUUCUUUGAAUUUUAUAAUGAUAUAUAACAUAUUGACAGACAUAUGCGGUAUAAAAAAAAUAAUUUUACCCAUUCUUGCUACUGAAACAUAUUUUUGCCAGAAAAAGAUGAUCCCUGGGCUUCAUUAAGAUAACUUAUAUAUUGUCUGAUAUAUAUGAUAUAAAAUCGACCGGAACUUUGAAAAUCUUAAUCUUAAGUAAAUGGAGGCUAUGGAAAUCAAACCCAGGACAUAUUACAAGUAUAAUGUAAAAUGAACCAUGAAAAGAUGUUCUCAAGUUUCAUUGUUUAUAUAUGGCAAGAGACUGACCGCUAUUUUUGGCAAAAGGUCAGCUAUUGGCACUUCAGUCCAAAAUCGUUAGAGCUGGUUCACCAUGGUACAUUCAUAAUGAAAAUAUUCAUAAUCAAAUUCCCGUAAUAAGAGAUCUACCAGCAUUCUAAUGGCGACGUACUAAAGAAAUAGGCUCAGCCAUAACUUUGAGUUUGAUUAGUUUUAAAUAUGCAGUUUCAAUAAAUAAAUACUAAAUGAUAGUCGGAUGAAUAUUGAAAUUUUUGUGAUUUUUGUCAAGUUGUCAAUUGUUUGCUUUAUUGGUGAUACCCUUGCGUUUAUGAAUGGAAAUAUUUUCCUAAUUUGUUAUCUAUUAUAUAAAAAUAAGUCGGGUUUUCCUUCCUGACGCUAUAACUCCAGAACGCACGAACCGAUUUCCACGGUUUUGUAUUCGUUGGAAAGGUCUCGGGCUCCGUGAGGUUUAUAGCAAAGGAAAUAUUUUAACAGAAAAGCGGGAAAAUCUUUUUUCACAUACAGCGCCAUCUCUGAUACAUAGCAUGUACUACAAACCAAUAUUUUAAGUAGAUGGCGCCGGUGCGUGAUACAUUGUUUGACAGCUACUCAUUGUUCUCUGCUCAGUUAAUUUCAUGUGACAAACCGGUAUUGUGUUCACUGUGAAAUUGUGAAAAAUAAGUUAUUCGUUCCCUAACAUUUCAAUUGGAAACCAUCAAAUCAAUCACGUGUAUUGUGCAAAUUUUUAUUCAAUUUCAACAACAGGCAUUUGUCUUUAAGGUGUCCAAAAUGCCUAGAGGACGACGUGCCAACAUCGGCCGCCGCACAAGCAUGCAAGCCAGCAACAAGUGUAUUCACAGAACUUAAGCAAAGAAAGACAAAAUAUUAUAUAAUAAGUGAAAAU
This is a long non-coding RNA of Bactrocera oleae (olive fruit fly), 3173 nucleotides long. RefSeq lists it as uncharacterized. NCBI's taxonomy places the organism in Eukaryota, Metazoa, Arthropoda, Insecta, Diptera, Tephritidae. The record is from RefSeq and is a predicted model, not a curated record.